AGCGAACGCUGGCGGCAGGCUUAACACAUGCGAGUCGAGCGGGCACUUCGGUGUCAGCGGCAGACGGGUGGGUAACACGUGGGAACGUACCCUUUGGUUCGGAAUAACGCUGGGAAACUAGCGCUAAUACCGGAUACGCCCUUUUGGGGAAAGGCUUGCUGCCGAAGGAUCGGCCCGCGUCUGAUUAGCUAGUUGGUGGGGUAAUGGCCUACCAAGGCGACGAUCAGUAGCUGGUCUGAGAGGAUGAUCAGCCACACUGGGACUGAGACACGGCCCAGACUCCUACGGGAGGCAGCAGUGGGGAAUAUUGGACAAUGGGCGCAAGCCUGAUCCAGCCAUGCCGCGUGAGUGAUGAAGGCCUUAGGGUUGUAAAGCUCUUUUGUCCGGGACGAUAAUGACGGUACCGGAAGAAUAAGCCCCGGCUAACUUCGUG
This 433-nucleotide ribosomal RNA is filed under the name uncultured bacterium. RNAcentral describes it as "partial 16S ribosomal RNA". It matches the Rfam family "Bacterial small subunit ribosomal RNA", at positions 29 to 507 of the family's 1533-position model. The record is from RNAcentral.